Molecule: long non-coding RNA, 774 nt
Organism: Ceratitis capitata (Mediterranean fruit fly)
Lineage: Eukaryota; Metazoa; Arthropoda; Insecta; Diptera; Tephritidae
Exons: 3
Source: RefSeq, a predicted model, not a curated record
CUGGAGUAAGCAUCUUUCAACCAAGAGACAAGUAGUUGGAAGCGUCGCCAUAUGUGCAGCCGCGACAUUGCAACUGGUUGGCAACACCAUGUUAGCGGUGCAGUGAGUUGCGCUCAGUUGUGAUGCCAUACCAGGCGCUCUAUAGACCGACCAACUGACAUAAAAUAAUCAUCAAUAUAAAUUAACUGCUGUGGCAAGUAACAAAAAAAAGAAGAACAAGUACUACUUGCAGAAGCUAACACUAAAAGUAGAACAAAACCGAGUACUUCACUAUAUAAAAGACAGCAAAGGUUGAUGAGUGGAAUGAGGCGUUGGAGUUGGGGAAGUAGCAACAGCUGUACUUUGAUUUUGCUUUUAGUGACAUAACUAACAUAAUCAGUGUAUUACCCACAACAAACAUAUUAACAAUGUUUGAAGAAAAAGAAAUAUCAAUAUAAAUUCAGUGCCAAAGGAAAAAUCGGACGCCAAUUUGGCUAAGACUUGUAACGCGUGCGCAUGAAUGUAUGCUUGGCUGUGUGGCGUGCAGCGUACGCUGUAUUUACUGCCCAUACUGAGUCACUUUGGUGUUGAACACGUUGAACCAACGUAUGUUGCAGAUACCAGGCCGGUUUAAGAAAGAUUGAAGCACUACGCACAUAUGACCAGAGUGCUAUACUGCUACACUGUUAUUUUAGCAAAUCGAAGUAGACAUUUCGUUUAUUGAAGAUCCAGCUUACUCUUUAUCCAAUUAGUGGUCGCGGUGAUCCAAACAAAUGAAAGCAAGUUUGAAAAAAG